This is an RNA transcript of Cercocebus atys (sooty mangabey), 1481 nucleotides long. It is a transcript of the gene named interferon-related developmental regulator 2 pseudogene, with no coding region annotated. The transcript has a single exon. The record is from RefSeq and is a predicted model, not a curated record. Lineage: Eukaryota; Metazoa; Chordata; Mammalia; Primates; Cercopithecidae.
CCUCGCGAAGAUGGUGGCGCGCGCGGCAUGUGGUGCCUGUGGUCUGGCCAAGUCUCAGCGCAGCGCACCGGCCGACGUCUCGCUGUCCGGGAGCCCACACCCACCGGGUCCCUGACCCUGCGCCCCCCCGCGCCCCCCGCGCCCGGUUCCCGGCAUGCCUCGCGCCCGUUACGGGCAACACGCUCCGGAAGGGUGGUCCGCGCCGUGGAGGAGGUGCCCGGAGCAGUACCCAAGCUGACUCGGGUUGCAGUGAUGAUGAGGCAGCCAGUGAGGCCCGCAGCACCGCCAGUGAAUGCCCCAGGCUUCUCAGCACCACUGCAGAGGGCAGCCUUGGGGGGGAUGUCGUGGAUGAGCAGGGCCAGUAGGAAGACCUUGAGGAAAAGCUGAAGGAGUAUGUGGACUGCCUCACAGACGAGAGUCCCAAGACCCGGCAGGGUGCUCUCAAGAGCCUGCGCCUGGCCCUGGCGUCGCGCCUACUCCCCGACUUCUUGCUGGAGCGCCGCCUCACACUAGCUGAUGCCCUGGAAAAGUGCCUCAAGAAAGGGAAGGGAGAGGAACAAGCCCUGGCUGCUGCUGUGCGAGGGCUGCUGUGCGUGCAGCUGGGCCCUGAACCCAAGGGUGAGGAGCUGUUCCACAGCCUGCAGCCUCUGCUGGUCUCUGUGCUCAGUGACAGCACAGCUAGCCCUGCUGCCCGGCUCCACUGUGCUUCUGCUCUUGGCCUGGGCUGCUACGUGGCUGCUGCCGACAUCCAGGACCUAGUCUCUUGCCUUGCCUGCUUAGAAAGUGUUUUCAGCCGGUUCUAUGGCUUGGGUAGCUCCACGACUCCUGUGGUUCCUGCCAGCCUGCACGGCCUGCUCUGUGCUGCCCUGCAGUCCUGGGCAUUGCUGCUCACCAUCUUCCCCAGCACCCAAAUCAGCCACAUCCUUGACAGGCAGCUGCCCCGGUUGCCCCAGCUCUUGUCCAGUGAAAGUGUGAACCUGCGGAUCGCUGCCGGUGAAACCAUUGCACUGCUCUUUGAGCUUGCCCGGGACCUUGAGGAGGUGUUUGUUUACGAGGACAUGGAGGCCCUCUGCAGUAUCCUGCGCACUCUGGCCACUGACAGUAACAAGUACCGUGCCAAGGCCGAUCGCCAGCGCCAGGGCUCUACUUUCCGCGCCGUGCUGCACUCGGUGGAGGGCGGUGAACGUGAAGAAGAGAGAGUGCGCUUCGGCUUUGAGGUGCUCUACAGAGACAGCUGGGCUGGGCACCGGAUCUACACUGCCUUCAAGGAAGUGCUGGGUUCAGCUAUGCACCACCACCUCCAGAGCAAUGAGCUACUCCGUGACAUCUUUGGCCUGGGCCCUGUGCUGGUGCUGGAUGCCACUGCCCUGAAGGCCUGCAAGGUUCCACGCUUCCAGAAGCACCUGUACAACACUGCCACCUUCAAAGCCCGGACCAAGGCUCGAAGCCGUGUGCGGAGCAAGCGGGCAGACAUCCUGUGA